This 301-nucleotide ribosomal RNA is filed under the name uncultured bacterium. Its description in RNAcentral is "partial 16S ribosomal RNA". It matches the Rfam family "Bacterial small subunit ribosomal RNA", at positions 509 to 807 of the family's 1533-position model. The record is from RNAcentral.
CAGUAGCCGCGGGAAUACGUAGGGUGCGAGCGUUAAUCGGAAUUACUGGGCGUAAAGCGCACGUAGGCGGAUCGAUCAGUCAGGGGUGAAAUCCCAGAGCUCAACUCUGGAACUGCCUUUGAUACUGUCGAUCUGGAGUAUGGAAGAGGUGAGUGGAAUUCCGAGUGUAGAGGUGAAAUUCGUAGAUAUUCGGAGGAACACCAGUGGCGAAGGCGGCUCACUGGUCCAUUACUGACGCUGAGGUGCGAAAGCGUGGGGAGCAAACAGGAUUAGAUACCCGAGUAGUCCCUGUCUCUUAUAC